Molecule: ribosomal RNA, 748 nt
Filed under: Lysinibacillus sp. MHM1
Lineage: Bacteria; Bacillati; Bacillota; Bacilli; Caryophanales; Bacillaceae
Description: bacterial SSU rRNA
Rfam family: Bacterial small subunit ribosomal RNA
Source: RNAcentral
AUGCAGUCGAGCGAACAGAGAAGGAGCUUGCUCCUUCGACGUUAGCGGCGGACGGGUGAGUAACACGUGGGCAACCUACCUUAUAGUUUGGGAUAACUCCGGGAAACCGGGGCUAAUACCGAAUAAUCUGUUUCACCUCAUGGUGAAACACUGAAAGACGGUUUCGGCUGUCGCUAUAGGAUGGGCCCGCGGCGCAUUAGCUAGUUGGUGAGGUAACGGCUCACCAAGGCGACAAUGCGUAGCCGACCUGAGAGGGUGAUCGGCCACACUGGGACUGAGACACGGCCCAGACUCCUACGGGAGGCAGCAGUAGGGAAUCUUCCACAAUGGGCGAAAGCCUGAUGGAGCAACGCCGCGUGAGUGAAGAAGGAUUUCGGUUCGUAAAACUCUGUUGUAAGGGAAGAACAAGUACAGUAGUAACUGGCUGUACCUUGACGGUACCUUAUUAGAAAGCCGCGGCUAACUACGUGCCAGCAGCCGCGUUAAUAUGUAGGUGGCGCGCGUUGUGCGGAAUUAUUGCGCGUAAAGCGCGCGCAGGUGGUUUCUUAAGUCUGAUGUGAAAGCCCACGGCUCAACCGUGGAGGGUCAUUGGAAACUGGGAGACUUGAGUGCAGAAGAGGAUAGUGGAAUUCCAAGUGUAGCGGUGAAAUGCGUAGAGAUUUGGAGGAAAACCAGUGGCGAACGCGACUAUCUGGUGUGUAACUGACACUGAGGCGCGAAAGCGUGGGGAGCAAACAGGAUUAGAUAC